RNAcentral lists this ribosomal RNA (497 nucleotides) under uncultured bacterium. RNAcentral's name for it is "partial 16S ribosomal RNA". It matches the Rfam family "Bacterial small subunit ribosomal RNA", at positions 28 to 507 of the family's 1533-position model. The record is from RNAcentral.
GAUGAACGCUGGCGGCGUGCCUAAUACAUGCAAGUCGAGCGAACAGACGAGGAGCUUGCUCCUCUGACGUUAGCGGCGGACGGGUGAGUAACACGUGGAUAACCUACCUAUAAGACUGGGAUAACUUCGGGAAACCGGAGCUAAUACCGGAUAAUAUAUUGAACCGCAUGGUUCAAUAGUUAAAGACGGUUUUGCUGUCACUUAUAGAUGGAUCCGCGCCGCAUUAGCUAGUUGGUAAGGUAACGGCUUACCAAGGCGACGAUGCUUAGCCGACCUGAGAGGGUGAUCGGACACACUGGAACUGAGACACGGUCCAGACUCCUACGGGAGGCAGCAGUAGGGAAUCUUACGCAAUGGGCGAAAGCCUGACGGAGCAAAGCCGCGUGAGUGAUGAAGGUCUUCGGAUCGUAAAACUCUGUUAUUAGGGAAGAACAAAUGUGUAAGUAACUAUGCACGUAUUGACGGUACCUAAUCAGAAAGCCACGGCUAACUACGUG